UUUUUAUGAUGAUAACUUUUGUCCAGUUCUGCUACUGAAUGAAAAUGGUGAUAACGAGACACCUGAGAAAG
Anarrhichthys ocellatus (wolf-eel) is the source of this 71-nucleotide small nucleolar RNA. The record is from RefSeq and is a predicted model, not a curated record. NCBI's taxonomy places the organism in Eukaryota, Metazoa, Chordata, Actinopteri, Perciformes, Anarhichadidae.